RNAcentral lists this ribosomal RNA (463 nucleotides) under uncultured bacterium. RNAcentral describes it as "bacterial SSU rRNA". It matches the Rfam family "Bacterial small subunit ribosomal RNA", at positions 328 to 804 of the family's 1533-position model. The record is from RNAcentral.
CCUGGAGACUCCUACGGGAGGCAGCAGUGGGGAAUAUUGCACAAUGGGCGCAAGCCUGAUGCAGCGACGCCGCGUGAGGGAUGACGGCCUUCGGGUUGUAAACCUCUGUUAGCAUCGAAGAAGCGAAAGUGACGGUAGGUGCAGAGAAAGCGCCGGCUAACUACGUGCCAGCAGCCGCGGUAAUACGUAGGGCGCGAGCGUUGUCCGGAAUUAUUGGGCGUAAAGAGCUUGUAGGCGGUUGGUCGCGUCUGCUGUGAAAGGCUGGGGCUUAACCCUGGUUUUGCAGUGGGUACGGGCUAACUAGAGUGCAGUAGGGGAGACUGGAAUUCCUGGUGUAGCGGUGGAAUGCGCAGAUAUCAGGAGGAACACCGAUGGCGAAGGCAGGUCUCUGGGCUGUAACUGACGCUGAGAAGCGAAAGCAUGGGGAGCGAACAGGAUUAGAAACCCCGGUAGUCCAGAAGUG